CUUAAAGAUCAAGGAAAGAAUGAAAGCCUAAAUACAGAUCCCUUGAUUAGCAUAGGUUCAAUGGUGACAGUCAAGACAAUAGGAAUGAUAAAAGGGCCCCAUUUGCAAGACAUUGAUCUCCAAGCUCAGCCUGAG
Molecule: long non-coding RNA, 135 nt
Organism: Ochotona curzoniae (black-lipped pika)
Lineage: Eukaryota; Metazoa; Chordata; Mammalia; Lagomorpha; Ochotonidae
Exons: 2
Source: RefSeq, a predicted model, not a curated record